Molecule: ribosomal RNA, 356 nt
Filed under: uncultured soil bacterium
Lineage: Bacteria
Description: bacterial SSU rRNA
Rfam family: Bacterial small subunit ribosomal RNA
Source: RNAcentral
AGAUUGAACGCUAGCGGGAUGCUUUACACAUGCAAGUCGAACGGCAGCGCGGACUUCGGUCUGGCGGCGAGUGGCGAACGGGUGAGUAAUAUAUCGGAACGUGCCCAGUAGCGGGGGAUAACUACGCGAAAGCGUGGCUAAUGCCGCAUACGCCCUACGGGGGAAAGGGGGGAUUCUUCGGAACCUCUCACUAUUGGAGCGGCCGAUAUCAGAUUAGCUAGUUGGUGAGGUAAAGGCUCACCAAGGCGACGAUCUGUAGCUGGUUUGAGAGGACGACCAGCCACACUGGGACUGAGACACGGCCCAGACUCCUACGGGAGCAGCAGUGGGGAAUUUGGACAAGUGGGGGAAACCUG